Molecule: ribosomal RNA, 492 nt
Filed under: uncultured bacterium
Lineage: Bacteria
Description: partial 16S ribosomal RNA
Rfam family: Bacterial small subunit ribosomal RNA
Source: RNAcentral
AGUGAACGCUGGCGGUAGGCCUAACACAUGCAAGUCGAACGGCAGCACAGUAAGAGCUUGCUCUUACGGGUGGCGAGUGGCGGACGGGUGAGGAAUACAUCGGAAUCUACUUUUUCGUGGGGGAUAACGUAGGGAAACUUACGCUAAUACCGCAUACGACCUACGGGUGAAAGCAGGGGAUCUUCGGACCUUGCGCGAUUGAAUGAGCCGAUGUCGGAUUAGCUAGUUGGCGGGGUAAAGGCCCACCAAGGCGACGAUCGGUAGCUGGUCUGAGAGGAUGGUCAGCCACACUGGAACUGAGGCACGGUCCAGACUCCUACGGGAGGCAGCAGUGGGGAAUAUUGGACAAUGGGCGCAAGCCUGAUCCAGCCAUACCGCGUGGGUGAAGAAGGCCUUCGGGUUGUAAAGCCCUUUUGUUGGGAAAGAAAAGCAGCAGGUUAAUACCCCGCUGUUCUGACGGUACCCAAAGAAUAAGCACCGGCUAACUUCGUG